Molecule: non-coding RNA, 104 nt
Organism: Triticum aestivum (bread wheat)
Lineage: Eukaryota; Viridiplantae; Streptophyta; Magnoliopsida; Poales; Poaceae
Source: Rfam
GAUGGCUGUGACGAUUUCCAAAUAUUCAAGCUCAACAAACCAAAUCACAGGUUUGCUCCUAGGAGUUGAUUUGUAUGCCGAUUAUCCCGCUGAACCGAGCCAUC